This 253-nucleotide ribosomal RNA is filed under the name uncultured bacterium. RNAcentral's name for it is "partial 16S ribosomal RNA". It matches the Rfam family "Bacterial small subunit ribosomal RNA", at positions 524 to 776 of the family's 1533-position model. The record is from RNAcentral.
UACGAAGGGGGCUAGCGUUGCUCGGAAUCACUGGGCGUAAAGGGCGCGUAGGCGGAUGAUUAAGUCGGAGGUGAAAGCCCAGGGCUCAACCCUGGAAUUGCCUUCGAUACUGAUCGUCUCGAGAGCGGAAGAGGUUAGUGGAACUCCGAGUGUAGAGGUGAAAUUCGUAGAUAUUCGGAAGAACACCAGUGGCGAAGGCGACUGACUGGUCCGUUUCUGACGCUGAGGCGCGAAAGCGUGGGGAUCAAACAGG